GACGAACGCUGGCGGCGUGCCUAACACAUGCAAGUCGAACGAGGUCCAUGCAGUGGCAACACUGCGGAAGACCUAGUGGCGAACGGGUGAGUAACACGUGAGGAACCUGCCCCGAAGACCGGGAUAACCCUCCGAAAGGAGAGCUAAUACCGGAUACCCUCACCUGGUCGCAUGGCCGGGUGAGGAAAUGGAUUCCGCUUCGGGAGGGCCUCGCGGCCUAUCAGCUAGUUGGUGAGGUAACGGCUCACCAAGGCAUCGACGGGUAGCUGGUCUGAGAGGACGAUCAGCCACACUGGGACUGAGACACGGCCCAGACUCCUACGGGAGGCAGCAGUGGGGAAUCUUGCGCAAUGGGCGAAAGCCUGACGCAGCAACGCCGCGUGGGGGAUGAAGGCUCUCGGGUUGUAAACCCCUUUCAGCAGGGACGAAAUUGACGGUACCUGCAGAAGAAGCCCCGGCUAACUACGUGCCAGCAGCCGCGGUAAUG
Molecule: ribosomal RNA, 487 nt
Filed under: uncultured bacterium
Lineage: Bacteria
Description: bacterial SSU rRNA
Rfam family: Bacterial small subunit ribosomal RNA
Source: RNAcentral